This 375-nucleotide ribosomal RNA is filed under the name Didymium dubium. RNAcentral describes it as "partial small subunit ribosomal RNA". It matches the Rfam family "Eukaryotic small subunit ribosomal RNA", at positions 76 to 405 of the family's 1831-position model. The record is from RNAcentral. Lineage: Eukaryota; Evosea; Eumycetozoa; Physariida; Didymiaceae.
UCUCUCUGAAUCUGCGAACGGCUCCGCAAACCAGUUGUAAACUAUAGCAAGCUCUCCUAUGGUCGCCCCUUCACGGGGGGGGUCUGGGAAAUAGGGAUAACCCUGGUAAUUCUGAGGCUAAUACCACCACGUAAAACCUGGCUGACUGGGCAACCGGAAGGCUGGGGGGCGUGCAAUUUUUUCGCGAGGUUUACCGGGAAGGGACGCACGUCUGGACCGCGCAAAACGGAUGACUGGGCCUUCGGGACUGGGCUUCUAGCGGCUCUUGCUGUGUGCUUCUGACCUAUCAACUAGAUGGCAGCGUAAGGGACAUGCUAUGGUGACAACGGGUACAGAGGAUUAGGGUUCGAUCCUGGAGAGUGGGCCUGAGAGAUU